This 446-nucleotide ribosomal RNA is filed under the name Sollasella ananas (Pineapple sponge). Its description in RNAcentral is "Sollasella sp. a NGW-2021 partial large subunit ribosomal RNA". The record is from RNAcentral. Lineage: Eukaryota; Metazoa; Porifera; Demospongiae; Axinellida; Raspailiidae.
CAAAGAGACCGCGAAACCGUUGGGAGGGAAACGAACGUGGCCGUGAAGGCUCCCUUCGGGUUCAGGGAGCCCGGGUUUUGGGCGUUGUGAGGUUCGAGACUCGUGUCGGGCUUGGCCUCGCAAGCCUUUCCGGGCUUCCGCAUUCCCGUCUGGAGUCCGCCAACGGCGGGCGUUCCCGGUCGAUGAGGGCUGGGGGGUAGGUGCCUCCCCGUCGUUUUUCGGCGAGGAGAACUUAUAGUCUCCGGCCCGGGUGGUCGGGAGCGGCCGAGGAGAGUUGCGACCUUUCGCACUGCGUAGCGCAGGCUCCGCAGGGGCCGGGUCGCUCCUGUUCUUGCGUGCUCCGCGUCAGCUACUGCUUGCAGUGACAGGCGACGGUCAGCGCGCUUGGGUGGGAGACGGACCACGAUUUGCGCUUCGGUCGUUGGCGUGCGUACGGCUCCGUCCGA